Molecule: ribosomal RNA, 254 nt
Filed under: uncultured prokaryote
Description: partial 16S ribosomal RNA
Rfam family: Bacterial small subunit ribosomal RNA
Source: RNAcentral
UACGUAGGGGGCGAGCGUUGUCCGAAGUUACUGGGCGUAAAGAGCGCGUAGGCGGGUCCUUAAGUGAGGGGUGAAAGGUUCAGGGCUCAACCCGGACACUGCCUUUCAUACUGGGGACCUUGAGUGCGGGAGAGGCGAGUGGAAUGGCUGGUGUAGCGGUGAAAUGCGUAGAUAUCAGUCGGAACACCCAUGGCGAAGGCAGCUCGCUGGCCUGCAACUGACGCUGAGGCGCGAAAGCCAGGGGAGCGAACGGG